RNA transcript from Beta vulgaris subsp. vulgaris (sugar beet), 2448 nucleotides. RefSeq lists it as uncharacterized. NCBI's taxonomy places the organism in Eukaryota, Viridiplantae, Streptophyta, Magnoliopsida, Caryophyllales, Amaranthaceae. The transcript has 6 exons. The record is from RefSeq and is a predicted model, not a curated record.
UGUUAGGACUGUGUUGUUAUAGAUAUUCUUCUUAUUUGAAGUCAUCAAAGUUGUUAAUUUGGAGAGUAUCUAAUGAAAUUAUCAUCAAUUCAAUUUAGAAAUGAUUUAUGAUAUAAUUGAUUGAGAGAAACUUAAGCUGAAGGAAAAGCAGGUGAAUUCUGGACAAUUUUAAUGUUCAGGAAAAGUUUAUUUUUUCAUUUGUCUGAUAAACUCUGAGAAUAAUCCCGAGUUUGUUAUGUUACAUUGUGUUUUAAAGGUAUAUGAAUGUGAAUUCAAUUAUUGACUUUGAACUCAAUUUAAGGAAUUUGAAUUUGCCUUUCUUAUGUAAAUUGGAAAAUGGUGAAGAAGAUCCCCAUGAAGAUAUUUGAAGAUGGAUUCUAAAUAUGAAACAUACUUGUAGUCCAAGUCCUUGAUCGAAUCAUGUUAUUCAAUGUUGAAAUUUAAGAAAAAAAUAGCGUACUUAAGCCUUAAGAGUGAUCACUGUAGCCACGAAAGAUACAAAGAUGCAAUUCUUUUUAGUCUUUUGGCUGACUGAAUAUGGAAAUCUUUAAUUGUGUCUCACGGAAUACUUUGGAGUGGGCAUCGAGUUGGGAAGGGGAGUGAGCUGAUGGCCAGAGGAGCAAGAGAAGGAUGAGCAACAGGUCAGGUAGGGUUAGGUUAGUGUGAUGAUUGCCGGGGAAGGAAGAGGGUGGAGGCAGAAGGGUGGUCGAGUGUUGGUGAAUUGGUGAAAAGAGGAGCGUGAGGAAAGGGAAUAUGGUCGAACAGAAAAUUACCUGUUUAUUAGGUCCAUGUCAUGUAGGCUCGCUUUUGGAAUACACCCCUAUUACUGUGGAACACUGCAUAGCUGGGACUUAUUCUUAUGAAAUGAUCCUUAUUCAUGAUUCUCUCUUCCCAGAAUUACUUAUAAUUCAAGUGUCCAUAUUCUAUUAGGAAAACUGUUUUUGGGAUUUACAUUUCUGAUCAAAUUGUUUUACAUCCCCUCAAAAGUUUUACGAGUAUUUUAAAGAAAAGGGUACUGAAGGAUGGAAAUGGGAAGCAUUUGUUCACAUAUAAAAUGGUUGAAGUAGGCUAUCUAAGGUGAUAAAUGAAUUAAGGGUUAUUUUUUUUUCAACUCAAUUUGAUUGAUAUGGACUUCCUUAUUAGCAUAACACACCCUUAGGAGCACAAGAAUAUCUAUUAUAGAUCAUCUGAUAUAAGGCACUGAAUCAAAUUGUUUUGAAGACUGUCAUUGUUUGCAUGGAAGUAUGGGAUGCUUCAUAUGAUAUUUGUAAAUUCAAUGUAAGUUUCUCAGGUAAUCUACCACUAUUACCAAACAGUUAUUUUUCCUUGUUCAUUUUCGAUAUUACAAGACGUCGAUUGCAUUCUCCAACAAAUGCUUCCUGAUUUAAGAAGUUUUCAGCAAUUUUUCCAUAAAUUUUAUCGUGGAAUAUCACAUGUCAAUGUAUGUGCAAUUAUGUAUAUUGAGAUAAGAUGACUAUCAGGAGGACUCAAGAAGUAAAUUAUAGAAGUACAGUUCUUUCUUCUGUGUUUGUUGGACUUAGGCAUAUCCCAUCAUAAUGAUUGUUACUCAUAUUUUUCUGAAUAGAAUGAAGGGAAAAAGAGUGAGGUUCAAGGACUUGGCAUCUGAAUCGAAUUUUCCUGCAAGCAGUGGAUUACCAUCUGAUGCAAGAGAUGAUCUUCCUAUGCCUGCUGCAGUUAAUGAAGCAAAAACCUCCGAGUUUGCGUUUUUUAAAAAAUUGAAGCAAGAUGUUGGUUGCACUUCCUGUCUAAAUCCUCAAAACAGAGAGAAAAUCCCCAUGAGGAAUUUGAGACCAAGCAACUAUGCCAGAGAAUUAGGUAGCUCAAAACUUAAGGAUGUAAAAUCUUCACAGUAUGUUAAGAAGUCUACGACUAGGGAAAUUGGUUCUUUUUUCUCUCCAAGAGAUGCCGUUUUGGAGAGUUCAGAUCUGCCUAGUAAGGAGCGUGAUAAUGGGAAAUUCAAGUGCUUAUCUCCUAUCAGAACACCAGCAAGUGUUAAUCUAGUAUCUUUCCUUUCCGCAACUGCAAAUACCUCUGCUAAUCCAGAAAACCAACUAAAAGAUGGAGAUAUCUUUACGUGCAAGAGGCUGAAGUUACUGCAGCGGAUUGCCAAGACCUUGUCUCCUGAAGCUGAUGAAGUUCCAAAGGAGUUAAGUGCAUGACUCAAUUUGUUUUGUUAUUUCUUUGUUGGCCUUCUUUUUCUUUUACAAAUAUUCACAGAUGUUUUGUCAGGUGUGAUUUAGUGUUUCAGCUCCUAAGUCGUUUGCUCCCAGAGAGUUAUCAAGGAAAUCUGUCACCAAUCCUACAACUAAGGCAACCAGAAACUGAAGAGAAUUCUCACUUGCGUCUUGAUUCAAAUAUUCAUGUCAUGGACACUACGGAUACUUCAAGGAUGCUUGUGAAGGCUGACAUGGAUCCCUUCUUGGAUAG